Molecule: ribosomal RNA, 497 nt
Filed under: uncultured bacterium
Lineage: Bacteria
Description: partial 16S ribosomal RNA
Rfam family: Bacterial small subunit ribosomal RNA
Source: RNAcentral
GAUGAACGCUGGCGGCGUGCCUAAUACAUGCAAGUCGAGCGAACAGACGAGGAGCUUGCUCCUCUGACGUUAGCGGCGGACGGGUGAGUAACACGUGGAUAACCUACCUAUAAGACUGGGAUAACUUCGGGAAACCGGAGCUAAUACCGGAUAAUAUAUUGAACCGCAUGGUUCAAUAGUGAAAGACGGUUUUGCUGUCACUUAUAGAUGGAUCCGCGCUGCAUUAGCUAGUUGGUAAGGUAACGGCUUACCAAGGCAACGAUGCGUAGCCGACCUGAGAGGGUGAUCGGCCACACUGGAACUGAGACACGGUCCAGACUCCUACGAGAGGCAGCAGUAGGGAAUCUUCCGCAAUGGGCGAAAGCCUGACGGAGCAACGCCGCGUGAGUGAUGAAGGUCUUCGGAUCGUAAAACUCUGUUAUUAGGGAAGAACAAAUGUGUAAGUAACUAUGCACGUCUUGACGGUACCUAAUCAGAAAGCCACGGCUAACUACGUG